CGGGGUGUUGCCUAGAGGCUAAGGCACUUGCUUUGGGAGCAAGGAAUCGUGCGUUCGAAUCGCACCACCCCGA
Molecule: transfer RNA, 73 nt
Filed under: Spirochaetaceae bacterium
Lineage: Bacteria; Pseudomonadati; Spirochaetota; Spirochaetia; Spirochaetales; Spirochaetaceae
Description: tRNA-Pro
Rfam family: tRNA
About the family: Transfer RNA (tRNA) molecules are approximately 80 nucleotides in length.
Source: RNAcentral